UCGACUACAUGAAGCUGGAAUCGCUAGUAAUCGUAGAUCAGCAUGCUACGGUGAAUACGUUCCCGGGUCUUGUACACACCGCCCGUCACACCACGAGAGUUUGUAACACCCGAAGCCGGUGGAGUAACCUUUUAGGAGCUAGCCGUCGAAGGUGGGACAAAUGAUUGGGGUGAAGUCGUAACAAGGUAGCCGUAUCGGAAGGUGCGGCUGGAUCACCUCCUUU
Molecule: ribosomal RNA, 223 nt
Filed under: Staphylococcus aureus
Lineage: Bacteria; Bacillati; Bacillota; Bacilli; Caryophanales; Staphylococcaceae
Description: partial 16S ribosomal RNA
Rfam family: Bacterial small subunit ribosomal RNA
Source: RNAcentral